UACGUAGGGGGCUAGCGUUGUCCGGAUUUAUUGGGCGUAAAGAGCGUGUAGGCGGCCUGGUAGGUCUGCUGUGAAAACUCGAGGCUCAACCUCGAGAUGUCGGCGGAAACCAUCUGGCUAGAGUCCGGAAGAGGGUCGUGGAAUUCCCAGUGUAGAGGUGAAAUUCGUAGAUAUUGGGAAGAACACCGGUGGCGAAGGCGGCGACCUGGUCCUUGACUGACGCUGAGGCGCGAAAGCGUGGGGAGCAAACAGG
This 253-nucleotide ribosomal RNA is filed under the name uncultured bacterium. RNAcentral describes it as "partial 16S ribosomal RNA". It matches the Rfam family "Bacterial small subunit ribosomal RNA", at positions 524 to 776 of the family's 1533-position model. The record is from RNAcentral.